UGUAAACCUCUUUUAGCAGGGAAGAAGCGAAAGUGACGGUACCUGCAGAAAAAGCGCCGGCUAACUACGUGCCAGCAGCCGCGGUAAUACGUAGGGCGCAAGCGUUAUCCGGAAUUAUUGGGCGUAAAGAGCUCGUAGGCGGUUUGUCGCGUCUGCUGUGAAAUCCCGAGGCUCAACCUCGGGCCUGCAGUGGGUACGGGCAGACUAGAGUGCGGUAGGGGAGAUUGGAAUUCCUGGUGUAGCGGUGGAAUGCGCAGAUAUCAGGAGGAACACCGAUGGCGAAGGCAGAUCUCUGGGCCGUAACUGACGCUGAGGAGCGAAAGGGUGGGGAGCAAACAGGCUUAGAUACCCUGGUAGUCCACCCCGUAAACGUUGGGAACUAGUUGUGGGGUCCAUUCCACGGAUUCCGUGACGCAGCUAACGCAUUAAGUUCCCCGCCUGGGGAGUACGGCCGCAAGGCUAAAACUCAAAGGAAUUGACGGGGACCCGCACAAGCGGCGGAGCAUGCGGAUUAAUUCGAUGCAACGCGAAGAACCUUACCAAGGCUUGACAUAUACGAGAACGGGCCAGAAAUGGUCAACUCUUUGGACACUCGUAAACAGGUGGUGCAUGGUUGUCGUCAGCUCGUGUCGUGAGAUGUUGGGUUAAGUCCCGCAACGAGCGCAACCCUCGUUCUAUGUUGCCAGCACGUAAUGGUGGGAACUCAUGGGAUACUGCCGGGGUCAACUCGGAGGAAGGUGGGGAUGACGUCAAAUCAUCAUGCCCCUUAUGUCUUGGGCUUCACGCAUGCUACAAUGGCCGGUACAAAGGGCUGCAAUACCGCGAGGUGGAGCGAAUCCCAAAAAGCCGGUCCCAGUUCGGAUUGAGGUCUGCAACUCGACCUCAUGAAGUCGGAGUC
Molecule: ribosomal RNA, 898 nt
Filed under: Microbacterium sp. BE385
Lineage: Bacteria; Bacillati; Actinomycetota; Actinomycetes; Micrococcales; Microbacteriaceae
Description: bacterial SSU rRNA
Rfam family: Bacterial small subunit ribosomal RNA
Source: RNAcentral